Long non-coding RNA from Etheostoma cragini (Arkansas darter), 209 nucleotides. RefSeq lists it as uncharacterized. Lineage: Eukaryota; Metazoa; Chordata; Actinopteri; Perciformes; Percidae. The record is from RefSeq and is a predicted model, not a curated record. The transcript has 3 exons.
UUGCAGUGAAAACGUCAUAAAAAACAGAAUCAGAGGUGGAACUGGGGCUAGAUUUAGCUAACAGAGUUUCCCAGUUAGUGGCGCGUUGUUGACAACUGAUGUUUGAUGUAGACAACUUUGGUUCACUGACAAUAUUUCAAUAAUAAUAAACAGUUUAUUGUGGACAAAUGCCUCUGCCAAGAAACACAGUCAUAACGUGUUUCAAAUUA